RNAcentral lists this ribosomal RNA (253 nucleotides) under uncultured bacterium. Its description in RNAcentral is "partial 16S ribosomal RNA". It matches the Rfam family "Bacterial small subunit ribosomal RNA", at positions 524 to 776 of the family's 1533-position model. RNAcentral also lists the same sequence under 1 other name. The record is from RNAcentral.
UACGUAGGUGGCAAGCGUUGUCCGGAUUUACUGGGCGUAAAGAGCGCGCAGGCGGUCGUUCAAGUCGAGUGUGAAAGCCCCCGGCUCAACUGGGGAGGGUCACUCGAUACUGAUCGACUCGAAGGCAGGAGAGGGAAGCGGAAUUCCCGGUGUAGUGGUGAAAUGCGUAGAUAUCGGGAGGAACACCAGUGGCGAAGGCGGCUUUCUGGCCUGUUCUUGACGCUGAGGCGCGAAAGCUAGGGUAGCAAACGGG